CCUCUUCCCAUCCCGAACAGAGAAGUUAAGCCCGUUAGCGCCGAUGGUACUGCCGACAGGUGGGAGAGUAGGUCGAUGCUGAAU
This 84-nucleotide ribosomal RNA is filed under the name Butyricimonas paravirosa. The record is from RNAcentral. Lineage: Bacteria; Pseudomonadati; Bacteroidota; Bacteroidia; Bacteroidales; Odoribacteraceae.